Molecule: ribosomal RNA, 321 nt
Filed under: Triticum aestivum (bread wheat)
Lineage: Eukaryota; Viridiplantae; Streptophyta; Magnoliopsida; Poales; Poaceae
Description: partial small subunit ribosomal RNA
Source: RNAcentral
AUGACAUGGGCACCACCGGCCAACCCGGCCACCGACAUGGAACAGAAGCCACGACGGCACAUGCCAACGGAUGGCCACACGCGCAAGCAACCGACUGCUCCGACUUUGACGACGAGCAACACAAGGGAAAUAUGCAAGACUUGCGCCGAGCGUGCCCUCCGCAAACGACCACUGAAUGCCUGUCAUCGUCACCACCUGAACUCGCUCCAACGCAGCUCCGACUUCCAAGCAACUACGGAAGAGCACCUCGGACACGCCGGGAAGAACCGACCGCCGAAGACCACGCCGCGACCCAAGCUGGUUGUGGAAGAGAACAUCUGA